Anas platyrhynchos (mallard) is the source of this 727-nucleotide non-coding RNA. The record is from RefSeq and is a predicted model, not a curated record. NCBI's taxonomy places the organism in Eukaryota, Metazoa, Chordata, Aves, Anseriformes, Anatidae.
AGAAUAUACAUACUUUUUAAUAUGAUUUUUUUUUAUUGUCAUGCCCUGAUUUUUUUUAUAGGCCUUUGCAAAGUCUGGUUGGCUUCUGAGCUCUUGAAACCUGGCAUCAUCAUCUUUCUUCCUCCUUUUUUCCCCUUUGUAAGUUUACAACAUCCUAAAACCACCACAAAAGAGGUAAGCUAUAUUUUAUACAACUAGUGAAUGAUGAGAUUGACAUCACCCUCUGUGUUCCUAUCCAAGAGACUUUCAGGCAGGGACCAGUAUGAAAUGAUGUCGUUUUGAAGACUUGACAGGGGAGGGAGGCAGAGAAGACUCUCCUCCAUGCUUCUUGUUUGGAAACAAGCUGCUCCUUGUUUUGACUCUGAUGCAAUGGCCCUGAGACUGUAUUACAGCAAACAGGCCAAGAACGAAGCUCCUCAUUCUGCCCCUACUGAUGACAUAUAAAAUGAAACUAGUCCCAGUGGUUUAGACAGUCGAAGCUCCAUUUGACAAAUAUUAACUAAGGCUGCAGCAUUCUGAACAGAAAGUUAUACAGGAAUGCAAUAGAUUUGUCUGAAAAGCAAAAAAUAUGCAAGUUUCCAGUUCAACACAAAUCAGGGCAAAGACUCAUAGAGAAAAGCAGUGAAGUAAUUUUGAUAUGCAGAGGUCAUCUAAGUAAAGCACUAGGAUUUGGAGCCUGAAACAACAGAGAACAUGCACAAUGCAUGCGAAUCCUCAAUGCCUCUGC